Manis pentadactyla (Chinese pangolin) is the source of this 2622-nucleotide long non-coding RNA. RefSeq lists it as uncharacterized. The transcript has 3 exons. Lineage: Eukaryota; Metazoa; Chordata; Mammalia; Pholidota; Manidae. The record is from RefSeq and is a predicted model, not a curated record.
CUCCCCCGUCGGCGGCCCCGGCGAGAGGCGGUGGUACAGUCCGAGACCGCCCCCGGCUAUAAAUAGCGCCAGGCGCAUGGCUCUUCGGGAGGCGCUGAGAUUCCGGGCCCGGCGGCCGCGGGCAACGGGUGCCUGUUAGAAACGGGGAUGCUGGCCCCCUCUUUGCCUUUGGGGGCUUCUUUUUAUAAUAGCAGCAGGUGCAACUUUUGUAUUUUAAAAACAUUGAUUUUCAUUUUCGUGUGGACUAGAAAAAGCGAGCCGGCUUGGAGGGAGUCCGCCCAGCGAUCCGAGUGCGCAUUGAUCAGUGUCGAGAGAAAAAAGGCUACAUAAAUAUAUGUUAUGUGGAUAAAUCUAUGGACAAGAGCUCUCUCUCGCGCGCGCGCUCUUUCUCUCCGUCUCUCUCAGCUGUUUACCUCCUUGUACCCCCAACCUGCCAGAGCAGCCCAAAAUCUUCGCCCUCACGCACAGCCUCUACCGCCACCCGAGCCACCAGGGAGAUCGGGACUGGGGAACGGUUGGGCCGUGAUGCGCGUAGAGAUUCGGAUUCCGAACCUCUUCCCAAUCUGCCUGAGAAGGCUGGAGAUGGGAGUUUCCGUCCCGGACGGCCUCCUCUGCUCCGAAGCGCGGCCGCUAGUCGGGCGGGCGGCUGGCGGGAGGAAGGUAGCAGCCGGGCACCUCGGCCCGCUCGCCCACCGGGGAAGAAGGCAGGCUUUGGACGCGGUGACCGGUGAGCCAGCGCUAGGGACCGGCUUGAUUUUGCCCUCGUCUGCUUUACUGGUUCAGGCUGAAUUUUUUUUUUUUUCUUAAUCCACCACCAAAGAAAUAAAGCCCCCCGAAUCGUCACCCGGACCAGACUCGCGCGGCGUGCUCUGCCCCCACGGGCUUCAUUUGCAGCACCUCCCGCUUCCGAAGUGCGAGGCUGGGAGUCGCGGCCGCCAGCGAGAGCCAAAGGGUUCGGCAACCCGGCAUGAACUCUGCGGGGCUCCCUACCAGGCCCGCGGGAGCCAGAACCUCGGCUACGUGGGAUAGGGAGUGGCUGGCGCGGGUGCUGGGUCCAAGCAGCCCCACCUCUCGGGGCGAGAGCUGGUGGUGAACUUGGGUUGGAAGGGCAGAUUUUCAUUUUAGUGAUAUUUACCUGCACUCCAUCCUCUCCCACAUUUGCUUUUCCAGGGCAGCUUCUUCUCGGCUUCAGAAGCCGGGAAAAUUAAAAUAACGCGCCCGUUGCCCCAAGGGUUUCGGGGGCAGAGCUGCUGGCCUCACCCUGGCCGGGCCCCCACCGGCGCCUUUCGGGUGUUCUGGGUUUCUCUUUUCUUGCCAUCGGAUUACAUGACGUUACUAGACGAUAUAUUUAAAAUUUUAUUUAGAGAAAUGAGACCCUAGCUGCCUGAAAACCGGGACCAAGCCCGUUGGUACAACCACAACGCAGAGCUCUCCAGCGCCAGGACGAGGCCCGAGGAGGCCCUGAGGUUUGCAGCCCCAGGCCCCGGGCCCACCCGGGACACCUCUCCCUGAGGAUCCAGGGCCCCAAACAGACAGCAAGUACAAUUCUGGGAACUGUGGAACUUCAUCCUUUCAUUUUAAGAUUCUCCUGCCUUUGCUUGAUGGAACCGUGUCCAAUGGGACAUCACCAAAUGUGACACAAACAAAGAACUGAAAGAAAAAAAAUUGAAAAUUUCUUCUCCUGCUGCUCUUGGGAACCCUCAACCAACCAGGCACGCCUGCUGGAGAGACAAGGCCCAGUGCCACCUGCCAUCAAAACUGACAUCCACCACCGACUGUCAGACAUGUGAAUGAGGCCAUCUUGGACCAAGCAGCCCUCAUCCAACUGUGAACUUUAUGUAGCCACAGAAUUGAGCCCUGGGGAGACCAGCAGAAGAACCAUUCUGCUGAGCCCAGCCCCGAUUGCCCACCCACAUAAUCAUGAAUUAAUAUUAAAUGAUUGUUGUUUUAAAUCACUAAGUUUUUGGCAAUGAUUGUCAUUCACAGAAAGAGCUAACUAACUGAUCCAGUUGGUAAUAGAGGGGAAAGGUCUCUCCCCUGAAGGAAGGGUUAUUUGGCGAGAACUUGUGGGUGUAGGUAGAUGUGUAAUUCUAUGUUUAAACAUGCUUUAUAAUCCUGAGCUCACUUUAUGACUUUAAAAACAUAAAAAUUAACUCUUAUUGGAGGACCUACCAUUAAUUCUCACACAGAAAUGCAUAUUAACAAUCAAGCAUGGGCACAGGAUGACAGUGCUGGCAUGCUCGAAAAUACUGAGGCCUUGGGAAGAAAGCCAAAGAAAAACUAGCUCAGCGAGGAUGCUGAACCAUAGCAUCUGUGUUGAGGUUAUGACUUGCUCUUUGGAAGUGAAAGGAUUCACCUCAGCCUAUUCCCAGCCUGUCUCCAUGAGGUGGGCAUCACUUCAGCAUCUUUUACCCAGGAGCUCACCCCAGGCGUCCUGGUUCCUUGAUGAACAGCUCCUACAAAAUGAGACUCAGUCAAACAAGAUUCUCUUCCUUGCCUGAGGCUUGACUUUUGGGAACCUGCCACUUCUUUGCAUAACUGACUCUAGGUAUGAUUGUCCCUCUCAAGGGAGAACAAGUGCCCUUCCAGAGACAAGACCUUUGCCCCGCAGACCACAGCAGG